GACGAACGCUGGCGGCGUGCUUGAUACAUGCAAGUCGAACGGAAAGGCCCUGCUUUUGUGGGGCGCUCGAGUGGCGAACGGGUGAGUAAAACGUGAGUAACCUGCCCUUGACAUUGGGAUAACUUCAGGAAAAUGGGGCUCAUACCGGAUAGGAGCUCCUGAUGCAUGGUGGGGGUUGGAAAGUUUCGGCGGUUGGGGAUGGACUCGCGGGUUAUCAGCUUGUUGGUGGGGUAGUGGCUUACCAAGGCUUUGAAGGGUAGCCGGCCUGGGAGGGGGACCGGCCUCAAUGGGACUGAGGUACGGCCCAGUAGCCUACGGGAGGCAGCAGGGGGAAAUAUGGCACAAUGGGGGGAAGCCUGAGGCAGCGACGCCGCGUGCGGGAUAACGGCCUUCGGGUGGUAAACCACUUUCUCCUGAGACGAGGCGUGAGUGACGGUAAUGGGUAAAGAAGCACCGGCUAACUACGUG
This 468-nucleotide ribosomal RNA is filed under the name uncultured bacterium. RNAcentral's name for it is "partial 16S ribosomal RNA". It matches the Rfam family "Bacterial small subunit ribosomal RNA", at positions 28 to 507 of the family's 1533-position model. The record is from RNAcentral.